RNAcentral lists this small RNA (127 nucleotides) under Marmota monax (woodchuck). Lineage: Eukaryota; Metazoa; Chordata; Mammalia; Rodentia; Sciuridae. The record is from RNAcentral.
GCUGGGCAUGGUGGCGUAUGCCUGUAAUCCCAGCAACUAAAGAGGCUGAGGCAGGAGGAUUUCAAGUUCAAAGUCAGCCUCAGCAACUUAGCAAGGCCCUAAGCAACUUAGCAAGACCCUGUCUCAA